RNAcentral lists this ribosomal RNA (301 nucleotides) under uncultured bacterium. Its description in RNAcentral is "partial 16S ribosomal RNA". It matches the Rfam family "Bacterial small subunit ribosomal RNA", at positions 510 to 808 of the family's 1533-position model. The record is from RNAcentral.
AGUCGCCGCGGUAAUACGAAGGGGGCUAGCGUUGUCCGGAUUUACUGGGCGUAAAGGGCGCGUAGGCGGACUGAUAAGUCAGGGGUGAAAUCCCAAGGCUCAACCUUGGAACUGCCUUUGAUACUGUUUGUCUUGAGUUCGAGAGAGGUAAGUGGAACUGCGAGUGUAGAGGUGAAAUUCGUAGAUAUUCGCAAGAACACCAGUGGCGAAGGCGGCUUACUGGCUCGAAACUGACGCUGAGGCGCGAAAGCGUGGGGAGCAAACAGGAUUAGAUACCCCUGUAGUCCCUGUCUCUUAUACA